GGAUUGCCUCAGUAACGGCGAGUGAAGCGGCAACAGCUCAAAUUUGAAAUCUGGCGCAAGCCCGAGUUGUAAUUUGUAGAGGAUGUUUCGGGUGAAGCCACGGUCCAAGUCCCUUGGAACAGGACGUCAUAGAGGGUGAGAACCCCGUACCUGGCCGUCGGCUCCCCCCGCUGUGAAACUCCUUCGACGAGUCGAGUUGUUUGGGAAUGCAGCUCUAAAUUGGUGGUAAAUUCCAUCUAAAGCUAAAUACCGGCCAGAGACCGAUAGCGCACAAGUAGAGUGAUCGAAAGAUGAAAAGCACUUUGAAAAGAGAGUUAAAAAGUACGUGAAAUUGUUGAAAGGGAAGCGCUUGCGGCCAGACUUGCCCGCGGUUGCUCAGCCCGCCUUUUGGCGGGUGCACUCUUCCGCGGUCAGGCCAGCAUCGGUUUGGGCGGUCGGAUAAAGGCGUUGGGAACGUGGCCUCCCCUCGGGGAGGUGUUAUAGCCCGGCGCGCAAUGCGACCAGCCCGGACCGAGGUUCGCGCUUUGCUAGGAUGCUGGCGUAAUGGCCGUAAGCGGCCCGUCUUGAAACACGGACCAAGGAGUCUAACAUCUAUGCGAGUGUUUGGGUGUCAAACCCGUGCGCGUAAUGAAAGUGAACGGAGGUGGGAACCGCAAGGUGCACCAUCGACCGAUCCUGAUGUCUUCGGAAGGAUUUGAGUAAGAGCAUAGCUGUUGGGACCCGAAAGAUGGUGAACUAUGCGUGAAUAGGGUGAAGCCAGAGGAAACUCUGGUGGAGGCUCGCAGCGGUUCUGACGUGCAAAUCGAUCGUCAAAUUUGCGUAUAGG
Molecule: ribosomal RNA, 826 nt
Filed under: Dematophora pepo
Lineage: Eukaryota; Fungi; Ascomycota; Sordariomycetes; Xylariales; Xylariaceae
Description: partial 28S large subunit ribosomal RNA
Rfam family: Eukaryotic large subunit ribosomal RNA
Source: RNAcentral